This 824-nucleotide ribosomal RNA is filed under the name Rhynchodemus sp. MAP-2014. RNAcentral describes it as "eukaryotic LSU rRNA". It matches the Rfam family "Eukaryotic large subunit ribosomal RNA", at positions 688 to 1455 of the family's 3401-position model. The record is from RNAcentral. Lineage: Eukaryota; Metazoa; Platyhelminthes; Tricladida; Geoplanidae.
GAGUCAAAGGGCUAUACGAAACCCCNCGGCGCAAUUAAUGUAAAGGUUUGCAAUAGUAAACUGUGAUGUGACCUUAUAUAUAGUACUAUAUAUGAGUGCAACAUCGACCCGUCUAAAGGUGUUCGCAUCUGGGCGGAGUUUGAGCGAUAAUGUAGAGACCCGAAAGAUGGUGAACUAUGCUUGUGCAGGUUGAAGUCARAGGAAACUCUGAUGGAGGACCGAAGCGGUUCUGACGUGCAAAUCGAUCGUCGGACAUGAGUAUAGGGGCGAAAGACUAAUCGAACCAUCUAGUAGCUGGUUCCCUCCGAAGUUUCCCUCAGGAUAGCUGGCAUUUGUUGUUAUAGUUUUACCCGGUAAAGCGAAUGAUUAGAAGUAUUGGGGACGAAAUGUUUUCAACUUAUUCUCAAACUUUAAAUGGGUUCGAAGUGCAUCUCGUUUAAUUAGAGAUGUACAUUGAAUAUAAAUGCCUAGUGGGCCAUUUUUGGUAAGCAGAACUGGCGAUGUGGGAUGAACCAAACAUCUAGUUAAGGUGCCUAACACCAUGCUCAUGAGAACCCACAAAAGGUGUUGGUUGAUAAAGACAGCAGGACGGUGGACAUGGAAGUCGUCAUCCGCUAAGGAGUGUGUAACAACUCACCUGCCGAAUCAACCAGCCCUGAAAAUGGAUGGCGCUGUAGCGUGGGACCUAUACUGGAUCGGUAGCGUAAGUCGUAUUUUACGAUGAGUAAACGUUAUCGUGUAGGAGGGUGCCGUGGUUGCUAAGAAGCUACUGGCGUAAGGCAGAGUGGAGCGGCCACGGGUACAGAUCUUGGUAGAGAGCAAUA